GCUCUUCAGACCCACAUCCCUUCUCCCAGUGACUGAACAGUCCCAGCUCCGGCUGGAGAAGGGCGUCUGCAGACCCCGCUGUUGCCUCCCAGGGGAGUCUCCAGGCCCAGCUCUCGCCCCACCGCGACCUCCCAGGCCCAAGUCCCUGCCUACCUCCCAGCAGCCCGAGUGCGAUCCUGUUCCUCCCUCACGGUGGCCUGUUGAGGCAGGGGGUCACGCUGACCUCUCUCAGCGUGGGAGGGGCCGGGGUGAGGCAAGGGGCUCACGCUGACCUCUCUCCGCGUGGGAGGGGCUGGUGUGAGGCAAGGGCUCAGGCUGACCUCUCUCAGCGUGGGAGGGGCCGGUGUGAGGCAAGGGGCUCACGCUGACCUCUGUCCGCGUGGGAGGGGCCGGUGUGAGACAAGGGGCUCACACUGACCUCUCUCAGCGUGGGAGGGGCCGGUGUGAGGCAAGGGCUCACACUGACCUCUCUCAGCAUGGGAGGGGCCGGUGUGAGACAAGGGGCUCGGGCUGACCUCUCUCAGCGUGGGAGGGGCCGGUGUGAGGCAAGGGGCUCACGCUGACCUCUGUCCGCGUGGGAGGGGCCGGUGUGAGGCAAGGGCUCACACUGACCUCUCUCAGCGUGGGAGGGGCCGGUGUGAGGCAAGGGGCUCACGCUGACCUCUGUCCGCGUGGGAGGGGCCGGGGUGAGGCAAGGGCUCACACUGACCUCUCUCAGCGUGGGAGGAGCCAGUGUGAGGCAGGGGCUCACGCCUCUGGGCAGGGUGCCAGAGGCAUGAGUUGGGCAUCAACAGGCCACCGUGAGGGAGGAGCUGGGCCGCACGCGGGCUG
Molecule: long non-coding RNA, 831 nt
Filed under: Homo sapiens (human)
Lineage: Eukaryota; Metazoa; Chordata; Mammalia; Primates; Hominidae
Description: HSALNT0170674
Source: RNAcentral